AGCUACCAACUACGCUGGAAAUCACCCUUUAUAACUGGAAAAUGGAACCAAAGAUUUUCACUAGUUUAAUCUUUAUAUUGGGAUCCAUGCGAGGGUUUUAUUGUGAAAGAUUGGAUCAGUCAGCGGCUGAGGUGCGCAGACCUGGAGAGAAGGUCAAGCUGUCCUGUACCAUCUCUGGGUUUGAUAUGACAAGCUACUACAUGCACUGGGUACGGCAGAAAGCAGGAGGACCACUGGAGUGGAUUGGAAGGAUGAACACUGGUAGUGCUGUGAAGAAAGGCCCAGCUUAUUUGUAUCCCCUUCUGCCAUGUGGGACCAAAGACGGGUUUGUCCACCUUGGCUGUAUGGCCAGUGACUUCUCACCAGCAGCCUCUCUGAGCUUCAGCUGGAAGGACGGCAGCUCCCAGCCACUGCAGGACUUCACACAAUACCCUCUGGUGGAGCAGAAUGGAGUACACAUGGGGGUCAGUCAGAUCCGCGUCAGAGCAGAAGACUGGGAGAAGUCGUCCUACCAGUGUACCGUGACACAUCCAGCACUUCCGAGUGACAAGACUGUCACCAUAGAAAAGCCAGUUCCACCGUCAGUCCCAACCAACAAGCCCUGCCUGGAUCUGACCCUGAAGUCGCCAAGGAUAAUAGAGCUGUUCAGUAACAAUGAGAUCGUGUUGGACUGCAUCAUCAGUGGGAGAGACCAGGGGGCAGUGGAGCAAGCUGUGGUCACCUGGAAGGUGGACCAAGUGGUGACAUCAGCAAAUGUCAACACAGCCAGCGGUGCUACGAGAUUGAAAGGUGGCUUUGUGAGGAACAGCACCCUAACCCUGAGUGGGACUCCCUCCAAGGGUAAAACGAUAGAGUGUCUGGUUCAGCAGAACGACGGGUCUCCCAUCUCGGAGACACUCACCAUCGGACAAGAACGUCAGUCCCCUCCUACAGUCUCCAUUGCUAUUCCUGCUGACCUUAGUGCAACAGAGUUCAUGCUGGCAUGCCUGGUGAUGGACUUUUCUCCCAGUGAGGUAUACGUAGCGUGGCAGGUGGAUAAUGGUGGAUAUGAGGCAGGGAUUACUAGUGAGCCAGUGGCGGUUGGCAAUAAGUUCUCUGUCACUAGCCUGUUCAAGGUCUUAAAAGUGAAGUGGAAUGAAGGCAUCACCUACUCCUGCAUUGCAAGACAUGGAUCUCAGGAGCAGCACAAAGUGCCCGCAAUCAAAAGAGUGAGCAAACUCACGGAAGAGCCUCGCUCUCCUGCUCCGGAACCGGACCACUGCGAUACGUGCAACUGCAGUGAAGUAGUUCCGCAAGAGGACGAGCUCAGCAGCCUGUGGAAAACGGCUUUCUCCUUCAUCAUCCUCUUCCUCACCAGCCUCACCAUUUUGGGCUUCAAUGUCUAUUACACCCAUUUAAAGGAGAUCUAGUGAUUUCAACAUCAAGAAGAGGAUUUCAUACAAUAAACUAUCAUCCAUUGCAUAUAUAUUAGAAUAUCAUUUGGUUUUGAAUCCUUGUGUAUUUGUAAUAUUACUAUGUAACAUGGAUGUGCAUGUCCCAUAUCCAAUUGUCUCUCUCUCUCAUAUUUUUUAAUCUGUCAGUUAGGUUUGUUCCCUGCACACUUGGCUGUAAUAAUGCUUGUCUUCAAAUAACAACUUAAGAAUAUUCGAGGAUAUAUUAACUUCAUUUUCAUUUAAUAUUUACUCAUUUUCAUUUAAUCUUGACUCGUAUUUUUACAUACCCUGAUUUUAUGUAUUCAGAUCAUAAAACCAAUCUGCAUAAAUUUAUGCUAAAAUACUCUGUCAUUAAUAAUCACUGUACAACAUUUUUGUUCUGCAUAUCUACAAAUAAAGUUUUGAUUGUUAAGA
This is a non-coding RNA of Brienomyrus brachyistius, 1847 nucleotides long. NCBI's taxonomy places the organism in Eukaryota, Metazoa, Chordata, Actinopteri, Osteoglossiformes, Mormyridae. The record is from the annotation of a RefSeq genome assembly.